GUUUCCAGUUGGUGUAUCCAUUUAAGCAGUUCUGGACGUGCUCUUAACACAACAGAAAGGCAUCCAGUCCUGAUCUGAAGGCAUCAAGAGAUGGACAAUCCACAACUGCACUUGGAUCACAGACUACAUCUGUUCUAGAAACUGAAUUGAUCCCACCACUUCAAAUUAUGAGUAACAGCAGUGAAGAAUCUCACCAGGUGUCAUCAUCUAAAAUGGUGAAAUCAAUUCUGCAUAACACCACAUGGAACUGUCCCCCUGUCUGUACAGAAAUCAAUAGUUUACUUUGCCAGUCUCUCUUUCCUUUACCAUCAGUCCUCUUUUUCUGAAGUUGAGGGCAUAGUAUGCAGUGGGAAGGGAGCAUUUACUAACAUGAAAUAUUGGUAUAAUUUCAUAUUAUGAGUACUUGUUUUCAUCUUGUUUCUACAUGGAUAUUUUGUCAUUAUUAGUGAGCUAUUCACA
Molecule: long non-coding RNA, 459 nt
Organism: Trachemys scripta elegans
Lineage: Eukaryota; Metazoa; Chordata; Testudines; Emydidae
Exons: 3
Source: RefSeq, a predicted model, not a curated record